This 1241-nucleotide long non-coding RNA is filed under the name Papio anubis (olive baboon). RNAcentral describes it as "lncRNA (ENSPANG00000050851.1)". The record is from RNAcentral. Lineage: Eukaryota; Metazoa; Chordata; Mammalia; Primates; Cercopithecidae.
GUUCUGGGGCUCAUGUUGAGAGCAGGAUCUCUGAAGCCAGGCAGUCUUGAGUUUGAAUUUCUGCUAUGCCACUUAGAGGCUGAGUGACCUGGGACAAGCUACUGAACAUCUCUGGGCCUCAUUUCCCCUUUCUGAAAAAUGGGGACAGGACCCACUUCAUAAGAUUGUUGUAAGGGGUGGAUUAGAAAAUACAAAGAGCCUAGCAAAGUGCUUCUUAUUUAGUAAAUAUUCGAUAAAUGUUGAUGCAGCCAGAGUGAAAUGUAUUUUAUAAAGUUCAAUGAGCAUAAAUUUCAUUGCUUUGUUAAACAACUCAAUCUUUAUUUUAAGGCAAGAGUUAGAAAACAGCCAAUUUAGUGUUGUCCACUUUCCUGGGGAUAGGCUUUGUGCCAACAGGGUGCUAGGGGGACAAGGGUGGCCAUCAGUAAGCUCUGCUGGCAUCUGGUAAGUCAUUCUCAUUCUCAUCUGGCCUCUCGUCACCUGUUUGCACUGGUCCCUACUGUGACCUUCCUUCCUAAGCAAGGCCUCCUCUAUUCGUCAGCUCCCUGGGCUGCAGCUGGGCUGCUCAGAAGGUCUGAGAAGACUGCAUCUGCCUCUUGUCUCUUCGCUGUUGGAAACCCUCCCCAUAGAAGUAGAGGGAGCCAUUGUCUCUGGCCACCACACGAGACCCUGUGAGGCUGUGUGUACCCUCUGGUCAGAUCUCCCCCUCUUUCCUCUACUCUUCCGUUAUACUGGUGGUCUUGCUCCUUCUGUGGGAACAGAGACUCUGGCAUCUUCAGCUUUGAAAUUGCUUAAACAUAUCUGCUUGGAGGUGGGAUAGGUGAGUCAAGCUUCAAUGUCCUUCACUCUGACCCCAGGGUGUCUAAAUGCUCUUAAUUUCUUCAGAUUAUCCUCCACCACCAGGGCUAUUUAUCUAACCUCAGGGACAGUAAAUAGGUCUGUGGCUCAGAAGCUCCUUUCCAAGGAGUUUUUGAGGCCUGCAUUCCUGGCUCACCAAUACUUUUCACCCGUUUUGUUUUUACAUCUUUUUCUAGAGGGAAUGGAUGCCACAUGGUGCAGCUGCCUAAAAGCUAAGAAGGGGUCAUGGGGUAACAGGAAAUGCCAAAGAAAAACAAUAAUUGGCAUAAAGAUUGAGGCCCAGAAGAGGAAAAGGAAGUGACCAAGAUCACCCAGAAAGAAGGUUCCAACUGCAGCUUGACUUCAGGUGAUGUAGCUCCCACCUGGCCAGGUAUCUUUUCCAGUAU